CGGCGCCGUGACGACCCCCCCGUGGCCUCGAGUCUCGCGACCGUGAGAGCGCCCGACAUGCACUACCAGCCGAGCGCCG
RNAcentral lists this small nucleolar RNA (79 nucleotides) under Nothoprocta perdicaria. The record is from RNAcentral. Lineage: Eukaryota; Metazoa; Chordata; Aves; Tinamiformes; Tinamidae.